AUCUACGGCCAUGCCACCUGAACAAGCCUGAUGUCUGAUCUUGGAAGCUAAGCAGGGUCAGGCCUGGUUAGUACUUGGAUAGGAGACCACCUAGGAAGACCAGGUGCUGUAGGCA
RNAcentral lists this ribosomal RNA (115 nucleotides) under Pteropus alecto (black flying fox). The record is from RNAcentral. Lineage: Eukaryota; Metazoa; Chordata; Mammalia; Chiroptera; Pteropodidae.